UGGGGAAUCUUCCGCAAUGGACGAAAGUCUGACGGAGCAACGCCGCGUGAGUGAUGACGGCCUUCGGGUUGUAAAGCUCUGUUAAUCGGGACGAAAGGCCUUCUUGCGAAUAGUUAGAAGGAUUGACGGUACCGGAANGAAAGCCCACGGCUAACUACGUGCCAGCAGCCGCGGUAAUACGUAGGUGGCAAGCGUUGUCCGGAAUUAUGGGGNGNAAAGCGCGCGCAGGCGGAUUGGUCAGUCUGUCUUAAAAGUUCGGGGCUUAACCCCGUGAUGGGAUGGAAACUGCCAAUCUAAAGUAUCGGAGAGGAAAGUGGAAUUCCUAGUGUAGCGGGGAAAAGGGGUAGAUAUUAGGAAGAACACCAGCGGCGAAGGCGACUUUCUGGACGAAAACUGACGCUGAGGCGCGAAAGCCAGGGGAGCGAACGGGAUUAGAUACCCCGGUAGUCCUGGCCGUAAACGAUGGGUACUAGGUGUAGGAGGUAUCGACCCCUUCUGUGCCGGAGUUAGCGCAAUAAGUACCCCGCCUGGGGAGUACGACCGCAAGGUUG
Molecule: ribosomal RNA, 551 nt
Filed under: uncultured bacterium
Lineage: Bacteria
Description: bacterial SSU rRNA
Rfam family: Bacterial small subunit ribosomal RNA
Source: RNAcentral